UGUCACGCCAGUGGCACUGCCCGGUAGCUAAGUUCGGAAUCGAUAACCGCUGAAAGCAUCUAAGCGGGAAGCGAGCCCUGAGAUGAGUCAUCCCUGACCCCUUGAGGGUCCUAAAGGGCCGUUGGAGACCACAACGUUGAUAGGUGGGGUGUGUAAGCGCGGCGACGUGUUGAGCUAACCCAUACUAAUUACCCGUGAGGCUUAACCAUACAACACCCAAGAAGUGUUCUG
RNAcentral lists this ribosomal RNA (231 nucleotides) under Aeromonas salmonicida. RNAcentral describes it as "partial 23S ribosomal RNA". It matches the Rfam family "Bacterial large subunit ribosomal RNA", at positions 2722 to 2925 of the family's 2925-position model. Lineage: Bacteria; Pseudomonadati; Pseudomonadota; Gammaproteobacteria; Aeromonadales; Aeromonadaceae. The record is from RNAcentral.